UUGGAUUCCAAUCGAAGAAGAAGAAGAAGGAGAAGGAACACUAGCACUAGCACUGUGCUAUGAAGACGAUAGCUUUUGUGUCCGUUUGAAAACUACAGGUAUGUAAUAGCACGUUUACACUUUCUAAUAUCGAAAGAACAUGUCAUAACAUGUUAGGUAGCAAAUCCGUCAAGGUAUUGUCACGUUUGCUAAAAUUUUAUGACGUUAUUGUGUCAAACCGAGUGAGUGAAGAACGUGAUUAGUCAUAUCGUUAGAGACUGGGUUUGUCUGAGUGAAUGAAUAUACAUUAUUUCGUCAAGAUAAAUUCAUAAAGAAUCUAUGUAUUUGAGAUUUCUGAGUUCGUUUUACAUAUUGUUUUGUUGUAUAAUGUUUUUUUACGAGCUGAUAAAAUGGCGGCGGCAACUCUGGGUCAGUGGACUUCAGUGCAGGCAGUGCGGGUGCAUCAGAGAGACAAUUUCACGGUUGCUCUACUGUUUUGAAGCUGAGUGUAAUGAUGAUCAGUUUUCUACAUAUUCAGACACCUUCAGCUGUUUCUAUCUUAUCUAUAUUUGUUACUAUGAUGUGACUGGUAAAUACAAAUGGUUUUUGCGAGCUAAAUCACAUUUUAUUGGUCACAUGCGCCAAAUACAAUGUGUAGACUCUACAGUGAAACGCUUACUUCCAAUAAUACAUAGUUAAAAAAUAAAGGGAAAUAUUUUCUAAAUUAAUAAAGUAAUAGUAGCACAAAGGAGUACCAGUACCGAGUCAAUGUGCAGGGUGGUAAUACAGGAUGAAUCUGCAGGGUUAAUUGAGGUAAUACAGGAUGACUCUGCAGGGUUAAUUGAGGUAAUGCAGGAUGAAUCUGCAGGGUUAAUUGAGGUAAUACAGGAUGAAUCUGCAGGGUUAAUUGAGGUAAUACAGGAUGAAUCUGCAGGAUUAAUUGUGGUAAUACAGGAUGAAUCUGCAGGGUUAAUUGUGGUAAUACAGGAUGAAUCUGCAGGGUUAAUUGAGGUAAUACCAUAUGUGCAUGUCACUUUCACCCCUAGCUACAUGUGUGUUGAGUGUCAGUGUAGUUUGUGUGGGUUGAGAAGUGGGUGUGCAUAGAGCCAGUGUUCAGAGGGCCCAUGCCUAAACUUGUCAGCCUCCUGAGGGGGAAGAGGCGUUGCCCUCUUCAUGACUGUUGGUGUGUUUGGACCAUGAUAGGUCCUUAGUGACGUGGACACUGAGGAACUCGAAGCUCUUGACCCGCUCCACUACAUCCCAUCAAGGUGAAUGAGGGGGCAUGUUCGGCCCUCUGUUUCCUUUAGUCCUCGAUAAGCUCCUUAGUUUUGCCCAUGUUGAGGGAGAGGUUGUUGUCCUAGCACCACACUGCCAGGUCUCUGACCUACUCCCUAUAGGCUGUCUCGUCGUUGUCAGUGAUCAAGCCUACCACCGUUGGCUAACUUAACGAUGGUGUUGAAGUUGUGCGCUGCCACGCAGCCGUGGGUGAACAGGAAGUACAGGACCACGCACCCCUGAGAGGCCCCCGUGAUAAAGGUCAGCGUGGUGAAUGUGUUUUUGCCUACCCUCACCACCUCUCGGGCGGCUCGUCUUGAAGUCCAGGAUCCAGUUGCAGAGUGAGGUGUUCAGUCCCAGGUUCCUUAGCUUAGUGAUGAGCUUGGAGGGUACUAUGGUGUUGAACGCUGAGCUGUAGUCAUUGAACAUCAUUCUUACGUAGGUGUUCCUCUUGUCCAGAUGAGAAAGGGGAGUGUAAUAGAGAUUGCGUCGUCUGUUGGGGAAGUAGACAAAUUGGAGUGGGUCCAGGGUUUCUGGGAAGAUGGUGUUGAUGUGAGCCAUGACCAGCCUUUCAAAACAUUUUAUAUCUACAAAUGUGAGUGUUACAGGGCAAUAGUCAUUUAGACAGGUUACCUUAGUGUUCAUGGGCACAGGUACUAUGGUGGUCUGCUUGAAACAUGUAGGUAUACAGACUGGGUCAGGAAGAGGUUGAAAAUGUCACUGAAGACACUUGUCAGCUGGUAAGCACAUGUUCUGAGUACGCGUCAUGGUAAUCCGUCUGGCCCCGUCGGCCUUGUUAAUGUUAACCUGUUUAAAGAUCCUACUAUUUAAAGGCUACGGAGAGUGUGGUCAUACAGUCAUCCAGAACAGCUGGUGCUUUCACUCAUGGUUCAGUGUUGCUUGCCUCGAAGUGAGCAUAGAACGCAUUUAGCUUGUCUGGUAGGCUUGCGUCACUGGGCAGCUCUCGGCUGGGUAUCCUUUUGUAAUCCAUAAAUCUAGUGCUGAGGGAUUAGUGCACUUUUGAGGUCAGUUUCGGUUCAAUUAUUAAAAAGGCUCACGGAUUUGAGUUUCAAUUAUUACAUUUUUUUCUUAACAUUACAUGAACUAAUGAAAUAAUGACAUCAAUAUUUUUAGAGCUUUUUAAUGGAAAUUGCAAGUGUGUGUGUGUGUUGGUGUCAAAUAGCUGGAGAGGGGGUUGGUCGGUACAGUUUGAUUUAUUGUUCAUAUCACACGCUCUAGCUCUCUAAACACAUGCACACACACGCGCACACACACACACUCUCGCUCGCUCUCUCUCUCCACACAAACUCCCCCUAUAUCUACCUCUCCCAGCAGGUCAGUCCAUCUCUCUCUUUCUCUGUCCUCCAUCUCUCUCUCUCUUUCUCUGUCCUCCAUCUCUCUCUCUCUUUCUCUGUCCUCCAUCUCUCUCUCUCUUUCUCUGUCCUCCAUCUCUCUCUCUCUUUCUCUGUCCUCCAUCUCUCUCUCUCUUUCUCUGUCCUCCAUCUCUCUCUCUCUUUCUCUGUCCUCCAUCUCUCUCUCUCUUUCUCUGUCCUCCAUCUCUCUCUCUCUUUCUCUGUCCUCCAUCUCUCUCUCUCUUUCUCUGUCCUCCAUCUCUCUCUCUCUUUCUCUGUCCUCCAUCUCUCUCUCUCUUUCUCUGUCCUCCAUCCCUCUCAUUUGGAUGAUAGAUAGGGAUGGCCCAAGGCCAAAAUAGUGAACAUUCAAUUGCAAAAACAUUGAAAAUAUUCCAUUGUAUCUGUCAGGUCCAUUUUCGGUAGACAUCAAUAGAAAAGUAGUCAAUUACUAUGACAAAAUCAAAUAUUUCAGUUGUGUAUAUUAUACUGAACAAAAUUAUAAACACAACAUGUAAAGUGUUGCUCCCAUGUUUCAUGAGCUGAAACAAAAGAUUCCAGAAAUAUGCACAAAAAGCUUAUUACUCUCAAAUUUUGUACAGAAAUGCGUUUAUAUCCCUGUUGGUGAGCAUUUCUCCUUUGCCACGAUAACCCAUCCACCUGACAGGUGUGGCAUAUCAAUAAGCUGAUUAAACAGCAUGAUCAUUAAACAGGUGCACCUUGUGCUGGGGACAAUAAAAGGCCACUCUAAAAUGUACAGUUUUGUCACACAACACAAUGCCACAGAUGUCUCAAGUUUUGAUGGAGCUUGCAAUUGACAUGCUGACUGUAGGAAUGUCAUAGAAUUUAAUGUUAAUUUCUCUACCUUAAGAAAUGAACAUCGUCGUUUUAGAGAAUUUGGCAGUAUGUCCAACUGGCCUCACAACCGUAGAGCAAGUGUAACUGUGCCAGCCAAGGACCUCCACAUCUGGCUUCUUUACUGCGGGAUCGUCUGAGACCCUCCACCCUGACAGCUGAUGAAACUGAGGAGUAUUUCUGUCUGUUCUAAUGCCCUUUUGUGGGGAACAACUCAUACUGAUUUGGCUGUGCCUGGCACCCCAGUGGGUGGGCCUAUGAAAGUGUAUCCAUCUAGUGAUCUGUCGAGUCUGAAAAACCCCAUGAUGGUCAUUGUAGUUCAUUACCAAGUUUCUGUGCUAAACUAGGUUGAAUAUUUGCUUUAUGAAAACUACAACUCUCUUUAGAACCAGCAUACCACAUAUUGGAGUUCCUCACUGUCGUUUAAUGAUUUGAUUUCUCUCUAGAGAAAUGUCACGUUGGGCUCACACACAAAAAAAACUAACUGAAUAGAAUUCAAGUAAUUGAACUGACAAUUAGUUGUACAAACAAAAAAUGUAAUUGCUCAACGCUAAAUAAUACAGUGAAUAUUAUUCAGGAAAAUAGCACAUAGUGCUGCCUAAAACAUACUGUAACCUUGAACUAAAUGGUUUUCGACUCAUUCAUUUUAAUGUAGGAAAUCUACUAUAGGUUAAGUGCACUAUAGGUUAAGUGUAAUUUAAAGUGUGCACUUUGUUUAAUGUGAAUUCAUGUUUUAUUGUCAAUGAUUAGUUACCUGAUAUAUGGAAAUGAGAGAAAUGAACAAGAAAACAUUUUAAUAUAUUUUGUUAUAAUAGAGAGAGUGCCAGAACUGUCAAGACAAUAACUUUUCUGUCUCUCUCCUUCCCGACUGAGUCCAAACCUACAGUCACUGGGUCCUGAUUGUGACAGUGGAGCCCAGUUUGUACUGCAGGAUCCAGAGAUGGCAUCAGUGAAGCUGGAAGACUGCAGUCAAACACUGGAGCUGAAUGUCAACAUUAAAGAUGAAGAAGAGGAGGAGAAGAUUGGGAAAUCUGUUUUUCAUGCCAGAAGAGGAUUGACCACCCCUCAGAGCCUGGUUCCUCUUUAGGAGACCAUGUUGAGACAUUCUUUACAUCCAGAGAGCAACAGCAGGAAGAUCACAGAGCUAAGAGGUCUCACCACUGCCCACAUUGUGUGGAGAUUUUCCCAUUUCUAUCAAAGCUAAAAAUACACCUACAAAUACACACAGGAGAGAAGCCUUACUCCUGCUCUGACUGUGGGGUGAGUUUCUCUCGACUGGAUACCUUAAAAACACACCAACGUAUACAUACGGGAGAGAAGCCUUACUACUGCUCUGACUGUGGGGAGGGUUUCUCUCAAAAGAGCAGCUUAAAAGCACACCAAAAAAUACAUACUGGAGAGAAGCCUUACUCCUGCUCUGAUUGUGGGAAGAGUUUCUCCCGAUGGAUCACUUAAAAUCACAUGAACGUAUACAUACAGGAGAGAAGCCUUACUACUGCUCUGACUGUGGAAAACAUUUCUCCCGAUUGGAUCACUUAAAAUCACAUGAACGUGUACACACAGGAGAGAAGCAUUACUACUGCUCUGACUGUGGAAAAUGUUUUAAAACAUCAAAUGAGCUAAAACGUCAUCAGAGAACACACACAGGAGAGAAGCCUUACUUCUGCUCUGACUGUGGGAAGAGUUUCUCCCGAUUGGAUACCUUAAAAACACAUGAACGUAUACAUACAGGUGAAAACCCUUACUCCUGCUCUGACUGUGUAAAACACUUCAAAACAUCAACUUAGCCAAAAGUUCAUCAGAGAACACACACACAGGAGAGAUGCCUUACUCCUGCUCUGUGGAAGGGUGGGCGUGUAACUCAAACAUCUAGCCAAAGGCUGCGUGUUUGAAUCUCAUCACGGAGGACUUAAGUAUUUUAGCUAAUUAGCAACUUUGCAACUACUUACUACUUUUUAGCUGUUACUGAGCAUUUUAGCUUAGCAUGCAACUACUUAGCAUGUUAGCUAACCUUUCCCCUAAACCCAUUUAACUCUACCUUAAACCCCUCACCCCUAACCUAGCUAACGUUAGCAACAACAAAUUGGAAUUCAUAACAUAUCAUACAUAUUACAAGUUCGGAACAUAUUGUAUGAAUAGCAAUGCGUAAAAUAACAUACAAAUUGUAAUUCGUAACAUACGAUACGUCCUACAAGUCGUAUUAUACUGAACAACAAUCUAAACGCAACAAUUUCAAAGAUUUACAGUUCGUAUAAGGAUAUCAGUCAAUUGAAAUGAAUAAAUGAGGACCAAAUCUAUGGAUUUCACAUGACUGGGCAGGGGCUCAGCCAUGGGUGGGACUUGGGAGGGCAUAGCCCCACUUGGGAGCCAGGCCCAGCCAAUCAGAAUGAGUUUUUCCCCACAAAAGGUCUUUAUUACAGACAGAAAUACUACUCAGCCCCCCCCCCAGACAAUCCUGCAGGUGAAGAGGUGGUCCUGGGCUGCCGUGGUUACAUGUGAUCUGCAGUUGUGAGGCCCGUUUGAUUUUCUGCCAAAUUCUCUAAAAGGACGUUAGAGGUGGCUUAUCGUAGAGAUAUAAAUAUUGAAUUCUCUGGCAACAGCUCUGGUGGACAUUCCUGCAGUCAUCAUGAAAAUUGCACAUUCCCUCAACUUGAGACAUCUGUGACAUUGUGUUGUGUGGCCUUUUAUUGUCCUCAGCACAAGGUGCACCUGUGUAAUGAUCCUGCUGUUUUAUCAGCUUCUUGAUAUGCCACACCUGUCAGGUGGAUGGAUGGAUUAUCUUGACAAAGGCUGAAAUGCCCACUAACAGGGAUAUAAACACAACAUUUCAGAGAAAUAAGCUUUUUGUGCAUAUGGAACAUUUCUGGGAUUUUUUAUUUCGGCUCAUGAAACCAACAAUUUACAGUUUUCGUUUAUAUUGUUAGGCAAAAUUGUUAGGCAAAAUAUAAUGUAACCUAACAUAACAUACUAAAUGGAGUGGCAUGGAUGUUUUUGUAACAUAUAAUAUGUUUUGCUCCGAGACCAGGUUGUCCCUCCACAGUAUUCUGUGGGAAUGAGCUUCUUUUUAUUUUUUUUAUUGAACCUUUUUUAACUAGGCAAGUCAGUUAAGAACAAAUUCUUAUUUACAAUGAUGGCCUAGGAACAGUGGAUUAACUGCCUUGGUCAGAGGCAGAACGACACAUUUUUAACUUGUCAGCUCGGGUAUUCAAUCUAGCAAAUUUGUGGUUACUUGCCCAACGCUCCAACCACAAGGCUACCUUCCACCCCUAACAUGUAUCAGAUAGAUAUGGUGUGAUGAUCACUUUUCACCAUUAGUUUGGAGGGAUUAUUUUACAACUUGAUUUAAUGAUACACAGCUUAUGAAAUGAAUACAUGUGUUUAUUAAUUGUCUUUAAAACUAGAUUAGUUAUUUUAGUUACUGAUCAUGAAUGUGUUUGGAUAACUGCAUUGAAGCGAACUUUAUUGAUCUGCCAAUGAAAAAUAAAGUUACAUGAAUAUGUA
Molecule: non-coding RNA, 6959 nt
Organism: Salmo salar (Atlantic salmon)
Lineage: Eukaryota; Metazoa; Chordata; Actinopteri; Salmoniformes; Salmonidae
Source: RefSeq, a predicted model, not a curated record